GGGAAGUUAUCGCACCCAAAUGGGCUACUACUGUUCGUCCUCUUGGAGGUGUGGCAUUCCGCGCAGAACUGCAAUCUCUGUCUCUCUGCGAGUAAAACGCAUUGCCGUAGGCGUCGAUCAGCUAAUUCGUCAUCGUUAAAUUGCAGGAAGCCCGAGCGAUGAGAGCGAUGAUCGAGGAUGCGGAUGCGCGAGGUUUAAUGCUUAUUCAAUCCACUAUUUGCUCCGAGGAGAGGAUUCCGGUUCAGAAGAAUUGACACAUUGAUGCCUGGUUGACGGUGAACGGCGGCAAACUUCGGAAUCGGCACUUCUCAGAAAUUUAUGGAGCUGUUUCUUACUGCAUCAUUACCCUUGAAAUCCAAAAAGGGGAGGAAUAACCGGUCCAUUAUACUCAUACUCUCCCUGGACCAAGAAAUCUGUGGUUAGUUGAAGUUUUGUCUAAAUGAAGCUUAUGUCACUAACCAUUUGAAAUUAUCUAUAUGCUUGGAACUCUGAUCUUUUAUUGGUUGUUCCUGUCAUGGGAUUAUAUUCUUGAACUUCCCCGCUUAAACAACUUGAGAUCCCAAGUCGGUUAGAGAGGGGAAUGAAACAUUCCUUAUAAAGAUGUAAAAACUUCUCUCUAGCAGACGCGUUUUAAAACUGUGAGAUUGAUGACGAUACGAAACGGGCUAAAGUGGACAAUAUCUGCUGGCGGUAGGUUUAGGUUGUUACAAAUGGUACUCGAGUCAAACACCGAACGGUGUGCAAGCGAGGACGUUGGGCUCCCAAGAGAGUGGAUUGUGAGACCCCACAUCGGUUGAAGAGG
This is a long non-coding RNA of Cucurbita maxima (winter squash), 802 nucleotides long. RefSeq lists it as uncharacterized. The transcript has 2 exons. The record is from RefSeq and is a predicted model, not a curated record. Lineage: Eukaryota; Viridiplantae; Streptophyta; Magnoliopsida; Cucurbitales; Cucurbitaceae.